UAACACGUGGAUAACCUACCUAUAAGACUGGGAUAACUUCGGGAAACCGGAGCUAAUACCGGAUAAUAUUUUGAACCGCAUGGUUCAAAAGUGAAAGACGGUCUUGCUGUCACUUAUAGAUGGAUCCGCGCUGCAUUAGCUAGUUGGUGAGGUAACGGCUUACCAAGGCAACGAUGCAUAGCCGACCUGAGAGGGUGAUCGGCCACACUGGAACUGAGACACGGUCCAG
RNAcentral lists this ribosomal RNA (229 nucleotides) under uncultured Staphylococcus sp. RNAcentral's name for it is "partial 16S ribosomal RNA". It matches the Rfam family "Bacterial small subunit ribosomal RNA", at positions 111 to 334 of the family's 1533-position model. Lineage: Bacteria; Bacillati; Bacillota; Bacilli; Caryophanales; Staphylococcaceae. The record is from RNAcentral.